This 169-nucleotide small RNA is filed under the name Chrysemys picta bellii (western painted turtle). Its description in RNAcentral is "TUC338 (ENSCPBG00000023086.1)". Lineage: Eukaryota; Metazoa; Chordata; Testudines; Emydidae. The record is from RNAcentral.
CUGACAGCCCUAGAGACAGAUCUCCUCCUCUCUUUAGCUACAGAUCAGACACAUCAGUGCAAACGUCCCAAAGCACACUGCCCCACCAAUGUGCCUCAGCCCCAACCUAGAGAGACCACCUUUAGUGGAAAAGAAGAGCCAGUUUGUCCAUGGUCAAUAGUUGGUCUUU